GAUGAACGCUGGCGGCGUGCCUAACACAUGCAAGUCGAGCGAACGGACGAGAAGCUUGCUUCUUUGAUGUUAGCGGCGGACGGGUGAGUAACACGUGGAUAACCUACCUAUCAGACUGGGAUAACUUCGGGAAACCGGAGCUAAUACCGGAUAAUAUUUUGAACCGCAUGGUUCAAAAGUAAAAGACGGUCUUGCUGUAUCUUAUAGCUGGAUCCGCGCUGCAUUAGCUAGUUGGUAAGGUAACGGCUUACCAAGGCAACGAGGCAUAGCCGACCUGAGAGGGUGAUCGGCCACACUGGAACUGAGACACGGUCCAGACUCCUACGGGAGGCAGCAGUAGGGAAUCUUCCGCAAUGGGCGAAAGCCUGACGGAGCAACGCCGCGUGAGUGAUGAAGGUCUUCGGAUCGUAAAACUCUGUUAUUAGGGAAGAACAUAUGUGUAAGUAACUGUGCACAUCUUGACGGUACCUAGUCAGAAAGCCACGGCUAACUACGUG
RNAcentral lists this ribosomal RNA (497 nucleotides) under uncultured bacterium. Its description in RNAcentral is "partial 16S ribosomal RNA". It matches the Rfam family "Bacterial small subunit ribosomal RNA", at positions 28 to 507 of the family's 1533-position model. The record is from RNAcentral.